ACAACACCUAAUCAAAUUGGCUCUCGAGA
RNAcentral lists this non-coding RNA (29 nucleotides) under Homo sapiens (human). The record is from RNAcentral. Lineage: Eukaryota; Metazoa; Chordata; Mammalia; Primates; Hominidae.